Molecule: ribosomal RNA, 598 nt
Filed under: soil bacterium Peni-S1A-M1LLLSSL-1
Lineage: Bacteria
Description: bacterial SSU rRNA
Rfam family: Bacterial small subunit ribosomal RNA
Source: RNAcentral
UGGCGAGUGGCGAACGGGUGAGUAAUACAUCGGAAUGUACCUUGUAGUGGGGGAUAGCUCGGCGAAAGCCGGAUUAAUACCGCAUACGCUCUGAGGAGGAAAGCGGGGGACCUUCGGGCCUCGUGCUACAAGAGCAGCCGAUGUCAGAUUAGCUUGUUGGUGAGGUAAAAGCUCACCAAGGCGACGAUCUGUAGCUGGUCUGAGAGGACGACCAGCCACACUGGGACUGAGACACGGCCCAGACUCCUACGGGAGGCAGCAGUGGGGAAUUUUGGACGAUGGGCGAAAGCCUGAUCCAGCAAUGCCGCGUGUGUGAAGAAGGCCUUCGGGUUGUAAAGCACUUUUGUCCGGAAAGAAAUCCUUUGGGUUAAUACCUCGGGGGGAUGACGGUACCGGAAGAAUAAGCACCGGCUAACUACGUGCCAGCAGCCGCGGUAAUACGUAGGGUGCAAGCGUUAAUCGGAAUUACUGGGCGUAAAGCGUGCGCAGGCGGUUUUGUAAGACGGAUGUGAAAUCCCCGGGCUUAACCUGGGAACUGCAUUCGUGACUGCAGGGCUAGAGUAUGGCAGAGGGGGGUAGAAUUCCACGUGUAGCAGUG